UAACUAUUUUGCCUUAUACAUUUCAGUUAUGGCUUUUAUUGUGAUAAAGAGUGCUGCCAGCAUAAUAUCCUGCUGCUAAAAUAAGGCUAAAGAAGCCUCGAAUGGCCAUCACUAGUUAUCGUCACCUAUAUUGAUAGAUACUGUAUCUAUGUCAUUCACAAAUGGCUAAUUAGCUGUUAAAAUGGCCAGUGGCAAAAGAGGAUUUGUUCAGGAUAGACAAAAACCUUGCUGGCUACAACAUUGAGUAGAUACGUUAUGGGAAGCCUAAAAUGAAACUGUUUACUAAAUUGUAAUUAUUUCUGGUGCAUUUUCGAAUUAAGUCUCAGGAUUUGUUCAGGAUAGACAAAAACCUUGCUGGCUACAACAUUGAGUAGAUAUGUUAUGGAAAGCCUAAAAUGAAACUGUUUACUAAAUUGUAACUAUUUCUGGUGCAUUUUCGAAUUAUGUCUCAGGAAUUGUUCAGGAUAGAGAAACACUUCGCUGGCUACACGAUUCUCUCGUCUUUUCACUUGAUGGAAAAGUCAGUUAUCAUCAUCUAUAUUGAUACAGUAGUUAUUGUAUCAAGGUCAUUCACGAAUGGCUAAUAAGCUUUUAAAACGGCCAGUUGCAAAAGCCAUAAAGUUUAUAGAUGCUAUUUGUGGUGGAGGUAAACUUAGUAAGAAACGUUACUCAGUUAACACAAUAUAAUGGCGUCUAGCGACAUAUUACUUGCUAAUAAGCUUUUAAAACAGCCGGGGCAAAAGUCAUACAGUUCAUAGAUACUAUUUGUGGUGGAGGUAAACUUAAUAAGAAACGUUACUUAGUUUAACGCUAGUUAAUGGUGUCUAACAAAAUAUUCAAACUUGUUAAUUAGUGAAAAUAAUAUAAUGUGAAGAGGCUAUACUAAUGCCUGAGAUGUGUGCAGUUUGGUGGCGUAGUGAUGAACGACAAUGCCUUUCACGAGGGUGACCCAGGUUUGAUUCUCGAGAUGGCAGCCACGAUUAGCACAUUCUAUUGCGGGCCGGCUGAACUAGGCUUGCCUGGUUUGUUGUUCUCCCCUAUAUCAAGAUGUCCAAUUCGUGUUUAAGGCCCUGCUUUAUUGUGUCAACUUGGGAGAGUCUAAACUAGAUGUGUCCUCCAAAGCACAUCUGAUGCCAUUUUGCUUGUCAAGUUGCUCUCUCAACCUGGAAGUGUUCUCUGGAAUCCUUAUGCGCUGGAGGAGCACAUUCUCUGGCCGUGAUUGAGCUCACAGAGUCCCGAGGCACCCCAGGGAGUAGCUAGACCCCGACAAGGCAAGGCAACCAUAUUCAAUGACUAAACCUCAACCUUGGAUGGUACUGGCCAACUGCACAACCCCUGCUGGAUCCUGGGAUAAUCUGCAAGCAGGAUUUGAACCCUGGUCUUGUAAUGACACUACGUUCUUACAGUGAUUAAAGGGCAAAUAAGAGAAACAGAGGGGAAGCGUGCAGCCGGUCCGGGAAGAAGAUGAACCAGGCUAGGGGGUUGAAGAACCAAUGCGCAUUAACUGGACCCUCAGGGCUCAGCUUGCUUUGUGGGCCGUCCACAACGCAAUCCCUUCAACACCUACAUACCAGCAGAUGGCGAAUACAUUAGUAUAGAGAAAUUGAUACUCGUGGCAACAUCUAGGCUCCUUCAGAAUCCCAGUGGUAUCCUCUACUGUGUAGACCCACCUUUUGUGAAACAUCCCAUCACAAUGUGGAAUAAUUUGAAUUUGAAUUUACUUUACCUGUUGUAUGAUGAUUUCGUUUUUAUGUUGGAUGUAGUCUGUGGAAAGUGUCCAUAGGGAUGUGUUAGUCUAUCACCUCGGUUUUUGGUUUGCUGGUCUGUAGAAAUGUAGUCCUGCCCUGUUACCACCCGAACUAAAGACAAUGUUUGAUUUGCUAGCACACCAGAAGCACUUUUAGCUAAUUGGGAGGUAAUAUAAUAUGUUUGGUACAAUGUGGUUAUUGUACAGUUUGUCAUUUUGUGCCUGUUAUGGGCAGGGAUGAACCAGUACGAAAAUUAUUGUCAAAUACCGAUAGCCAAUAUUAUUUUAACACAAUCAGCUGAUGUUGAUACCAAUACAGAUGUUUUGUCAUGUUGUUACCUGUGUGCCCUGACAUGCAAUAAACAAAAAGGCAGCUGAUCAUGGC
Esox lucius (northern pike) is the source of this 2132-nucleotide long non-coding RNA. The record is from Ensembl. NCBI's taxonomy places the organism in Eukaryota, Metazoa, Chordata, Actinopteri, Esociformes, Esocidae.